AAAUGCAAACUUAAAAACACAAAAGAAAGACAACAGUAGAAUAACACAGAAGGUUUGAUAAGAUGAACUUAGAAAUCUCUAUUUAAAAUAUAAUAUUUUAAAAGGAUAAAACUUUAUUGUAUUUUCAGUCUUUGCAACAGGGUUAAACAGCACAUCUGGGAUUAUUAUGUUUGAUUUCACUCAUAAUUCACCAAGCAGGAAUGCAAAGUCUGCAGUGCUUGCUGAUCUCAGAAAAGAUUACAUGUUAUAAGGACUGUCUGUGCGAUGUUUUGGUCAGUGCAGCUGGAUCCCUCCUUCUGUGCUGAGAACACACAAUCCACCAGUCAGGUACCACCCUCAGCCUCUUACAAAACCUUACUGGCUGGAGAUCUGACCCUAUGCUCAGCACACUGGGUAGGACAGCUGCCACCACUUGAGUGGAAAUCCAGCUGGGAUUUAAAUUGUUGAGUGCUUCCAGCUCUCUGUUUCUCUUUCCUAGCAGUCUGUAGGUUUCUGUCCUUUGAUGACAUGAUCUUCAGAGGCUACUCCGGCUCUAUCAGGAUGGUGCAAAACAGUGCUAUACCUCCUCCGGGGUGGUGCAUGUGAGUGAUGCAUUUGCUUAAUAUGGGAUGGCUGACAGCCUGCUGGUGCAUCCCCUGCUGAUCUACAGGGAUCAAGUGAUUUCUUGCUUCCUUGUUAACUGCUGGUGGUGAAAUAUAUUCAGGUUUUUGAGGUUUCUUUGAAAUAAGUGUCUCUUACACAUCUCUUGUCCAAAUGGAUACUGGUCAAUCAUGAAAAGUCAAGGGACUGAGAGG
Molecule: long non-coding RNA, 794 nt
Organism: Oxyura jamaicensis (ruddy duck)
Lineage: Eukaryota; Metazoa; Chordata; Aves; Anseriformes; Anatidae
Exons: 3
Source: RefSeq, a predicted model, not a curated record